GCAACCAUAGUGUAGUGGUUAACAUGCUCGCCUUCCAUAACGUGGUCAGCGGGCGGCCCAGUUCGAGCCCCGGAGGUUGCA
Molecule: non-coding RNA, 81 nt
Organism: Blyttiomyces helicus
Lineage: Eukaryota; Fungi; Chytridiomycota; Chytridiomycetes
Source: the annotation of a GenBank genome assembly